UCGUAGUCAGAACUGCCUGCAAAGGCUUGCGAACAAAUGUUCGUUCACUGUGAACAAAUCAGGACGCUUAGUGUAUGGCUACAAGAAUGACUUAGCGCAGUAUGAUAUCUUUACCUUUGGUAAGAUCAAUGAGAGCCACCGGGGGUAGAUCUAUUUCAUGGCGAACGGCGGAAUGUUUUGACCCAUGAGAGAGAAACGAAGGCGAAAGCAUCUACCUAGCGGGUUUCUGUCGAUCAAGGGCGAGAGUAGGAGUAUCCAACCGGAUUAGAGACCCGGGUAGUUCCUACCUUAAACGAUGCCGACAGGGGCUUGUCCUUCUAUAAGGGCAGGACCUUAGGAGAAAUCAUAGUUCUUGGGCUCUGGGGGAACUACGACCGCAAGGCUGAAACUUGAAGGAAUUGACGGAAGGGCACACCAGGGGUGGAGCUUGUGGCUUAAUUUGAAUCAACACGGGGAAACUUACCAGGACCAGAUGUUUUUGAUGACUGACAGGCUUCCGGUCUUUCAGGAUAUGAUUUUUGGUGGUGCAUGGCCGUUGGUGGUGCGUGGGUU
RNAcentral lists this ribosomal RNA (552 nucleotides) under Tritrichomonas sp. PY3. RNAcentral describes it as "SSU rRNA". It matches the Rfam family "Eukaryotic small subunit ribosomal RNA", at positions 708 to 1307 of the family's 1831-position model. Lineage: Eukaryota; Parabasalia; Tritrichomonadida; Tritrichomonadidae. The record is from RNAcentral.